GAUGAACGCUGGCGGCGUGCUUAACACAUGCAAGUCGAACGGGGUUUAGGGGCUUGCUCCUAAACUUAGUGGCAAACGGGUGAGUAAUGCAUAAGUAACGUACCCUUCAGACUGGGAUAACAUACCGAAAGGGAUGCUAAUACCGGAUACACUUUAAAGAUCGCAUGGUCUAUAAAGGAAACGAAUUUCGCUGAAGGAGCGGCUUAUGUCUGAUUAGCUAGUUGGUGGGGUGAAGGCCUACCAAGGCGAUUAUCAGUAGCUGGUCUGAGAGGAUGGUCAGCCACACUGGGACUGAGACACGGCCCAGACUCCUACGGGAGGCAGCAGUGGGGAAUAUUGCGCAAUGGGGGAAACCCUGACGCAGCGACGCCGCGUGAGUGACGACGUCUUUAGGGAUGUAAAGCUCUGUCAAGAAGGACGAU
This 422-nucleotide ribosomal RNA is filed under the name uncultured bacterium. Its description in RNAcentral is "bacterial SSU rRNA". It matches the Rfam family "Bacterial small subunit ribosomal RNA", at positions 28 to 449 of the family's 1533-position model. The record is from RNAcentral.